Molecule: ribosomal RNA, 111 nt
Filed under: Pseudocyphellaria aurata
Lineage: Eukaryota; Fungi; Ascomycota; Lecanoromycetes; Peltigerales; Lobariaceae
Description: 5.8S ribosomal RNA
Rfam family: 5.8S ribosomal RNA (bases 59-111)
Source: RNAcentral
GCUUGAGAACCCUUCAAAACUCGCGAUCAGUGUCGUCCGAGUGGUCUCGAAUAACUAAAACUUUCAACAACGGAUCUCUUGGUUCUGGCAUCGAUGAAGAACGCAGCGAAA